CGCUGGCGGCGUGCUUAACACAUGCAAGUCGAACGGAGGUUAAGCGCUGGUUGAUGCUAGCUUGCUAGAGGAUUCCUUGCUAACUAGUGGCGGACGGGUGAGUAACGCGUGAGUAACCUGCCCUUCAGUGGGGAAUAACGCCCUGAAAAGAGCGCUAAUACCGCAUAACACAUAUUUGCCGCAUGACAGAUAUGUCAAAGAUUUAUCGCUGAAGGAUGGACUCGCGUCCGAUUAGCUAGUUGGUGAGGUAACGGCUCACCAAGGCGACGAUCGGUAGCCGGACUGAGAGGUUGAACGGCCACAUUGGGACUGAGACACGGCCCAGACUCCUACGGGAGGCAGCAGUGGGGGAUAUUGCGCAAUCGGGGGAAACCCUGACGCAGCAACGCCGCGUGGAGGAUGACGGUUUUCGGAUUGUAAACUCCUUUUAUAAGGGACGAACUAAGACGGUACCUUAUGAAUAAGCUCCGGCUAACUACGUGCCAGCCGCCGC
RNAcentral lists this ribosomal RNA (493 nucleotides) under uncultured bacterium. Its description in RNAcentral is "bacterial SSU rRNA". It matches the Rfam family "Bacterial small subunit ribosomal RNA", at positions 34 to 518 of the family's 1533-position model. The record is from RNAcentral.